UUAGUUAAACUACUUUUUGC
This 20-nucleotide transfer RNA is filed under the name Pristipomoides multidens (goldbanded jobfish). RNAcentral describes it as "partial tRNA-Pro". Lineage: Eukaryota; Metazoa; Chordata; Actinopteri; Lutjaniformes; Lutjanidae. The record is from RNAcentral.